RNAcentral lists this ribosomal RNA (459 nucleotides) under Prevotella sp. oral taxon 313. RNAcentral's name for it is "bacterial SSU rRNA". It matches the Rfam family "Bacterial small subunit ribosomal RNA", at positions 28 to 474 of the family's 1533-position model. Lineage: Bacteria; Pseudomonadati; Bacteroidota; Bacteroidia; Bacteroidales; Prevotellaceae. The record is from RNAcentral.
GAUGAACGCUAGCUACAGGCUUGACACAUGCAAGUCGAGGGGAAACGGCAUUUAGUGCUUGCACCGAAUGGACGUCGACCGGCGCACGGGUGAGUAACGCGUAUCCAACCUACCCAUUACUGUGGGAUAACCUGCCGAAAGGCAGACUAAUACCGCAUAGUCUUCGAUGACGGCAUCAGAUUUGAAGUAAAGAUUUAUCGGUAAUGGAUGGGGAUGCGUCUGAUUAGCUUGUUGGUGGGGUAACGGCCCACCAAGGCGACGAUCAGUAGGGGUUCUGAGAGGAAGGUCCCCCACAUUGGAACUGAGACACGGUCCAAACUCCUACGGGAGGCAGCAGUGAGGAAUAUUGGUCAAUGGGCGCGAGCCUGAACCAGCCAAGUAGCGUGCAGGAUGACGGCCCUAUGGGUUGUAAACUGCUUUUGUAUGGGGAUAAAGUCAAUCACGUGUGAUUGUUUGCAG